UGCGGUUAUACAAACGAUACAAUUAAAUUAUUUUAGUUUUAAUUAAUUGAUAAUUAGAAAUUUUAUAGUUAAGUUUAAUGAGUGAAAUUUUAAAUUUUAAAAAGAUUAAUAUUUGUUAAUGAUUUAAUAAAUUUUAAAUAUAAACUAGGAUUAGAUACCCUAUUAUUUGAAAUGUAAUUUUAAAAGCUAAAUUAGUAUUUGUUAUGUUCUUGAAAAUUAAAGAUUUUGGCGGUAUUUUAGUCUAUUCAGAGGAACCUGUUCUGUAAUUGAUAGUCCACGAUUAAAUUUACUUUUUUUAUAUAAAUUUAUAUAUCGUCGUAGUUUGAAUAUUUUAUAAGAAUUUGAAUAUUUAAGAUUUAUAAUAAUAAAGAAAAUCAGAUCAAGGUGUAGUUUAUAAAAAAGAAGAAAUGGGUUACUUUAAUUUUAAUUUGCGAUAAUUAUUAUUAUAAUAGUUUGAAUUAGGAUUUGAAAGUAAUUUUAAUUAUUUAAUUAAAAUGAUUUUAGCUCUAAAAUAU
This 515-nucleotide ribosomal RNA is filed under the name Gastrophysa polygoni. Its description in RNAcentral is "partial 12S ribosomal RNA". Lineage: Eukaryota; Metazoa; Arthropoda; Insecta; Coleoptera; Chrysomelidae. The record is from RNAcentral.